UACGGAGGGUGCGAGCGUUAUUCGGAAUUAUUGGGCGUAAAGAGCGCGUAGGCGGUCUCUUAAGUCAGAUGUGAAAGCCCAGGGCUCAACCCUGGAAGUGCAUUUGAAACUAAGGGACUUGAGUAUGGGAGAGGGAAGUGGAAUUCCUGGUGUAGCGGUGAAAUGCGUAGAUAUCAGGAGGAACAUCGGUGGCGAAGGCGACUUCCUGGACCAAUACUGACGCUGAGGCGCGAAGGCGUGGGGAGCAAACAGG
This 253-nucleotide ribosomal RNA is filed under the name uncultured bacterium. Its description in RNAcentral is "partial 16S ribosomal RNA". It matches the Rfam family "Bacterial small subunit ribosomal RNA", at positions 524 to 776 of the family's 1533-position model. The record is from RNAcentral.